Molecule: ribosomal RNA, 254 nt
Filed under: uncultured bacterium
Lineage: Bacteria
Description: partial 16S ribosomal RNA
Rfam family: Bacterial small subunit ribosomal RNA
Source: RNAcentral
CACGUAGGGGGCAAGCGUUGUCCGGAUUUAUUGGGCGUAAAGAGCUCGUAGGUGGUUCGGUAAGUCGGGUGUUAAACCCCCAGGCUCAACCUGGGGACGCCACUCGAUACUGCUGUGACUAGAGUCCGGUAGGGGAGCGUGGAAUUCCUGGUGUAGCGGUGAAAUGCGCAGAUAUCAGGAGGAACACCAGCGGCGAAGGCGGCGCUCUGGGCCGGUACUGAUACUGAGGAGCGAAAGCGUGGGGAGCGAACAGG